GACGAACGCUGGCGGCGUGCUUAACACAUGCAAGUCGAACGGAAAGGCCCUGCUUGCAGGGUGCUCGAGUGGCGAACGGGUGAGUAACACGUGGGUGAUCUGCCUCUUACUUUGGGAUAAGCCUGGGAAACUGGGUCUAAUACUGGAUAGGACCAUGCUGUAGGUGGUGUGGUGGAAAGAUUAGUUUCGGUAAGGGAUGAGCUCGCGGCCUAUCAGCUUGUUGGUGGGGUAAUGGCCUACCAAGGCGUCGACGGGUAGCCGGCCUGAGAGGGUGGACGGCCACAUUGGGACUGAGAUACGGCCCAGACUCCUACGGGAGGCAGCAGUGGGGAAGAUUGCACAAUGGGCGCAAGCCUGAUGCAGCGACGCCGCGUGGGGGAUGACGGCCUUCGGGUUGUAAACUCCUUUCAGCCAUGACGAAGCCCUUGUGGUGACGGUAGUGGUAGAAGAAGCACCGGCUAACUACGUG
This 469-nucleotide ribosomal RNA is filed under the name uncultured bacterium. Its description in RNAcentral is "partial 16S ribosomal RNA". It matches the Rfam family "Bacterial small subunit ribosomal RNA", at positions 28 to 507 of the family's 1533-position model. The record is from RNAcentral.